AUGAGGACAUUACAAAAUUUGCCACAUGUGGCACAUGUUGCAGCUGAAGCUCUGUCGAGGUCAGCUCUCCCCAUAAAAUCUGCGAAAAGGAAAAACCUGAUGACGUCGCGAAAGGAAAGAAAAAAACAGUCCCUUUUUCCCUGGUUAAAUUGGUGGCGGCACACACACAUGAUCCCCGUGAAAGGGCUGAGAAGUUGGCAUGUCAAUUCAGGAGGCCGUGCGGUGUGGAUCAAGACGCGCUGCUGCAUAGGGAAAAGGAGUAAAGGAAGAAAACGUCUUGGGUUCCUGACUUGGCUUGUGAAGCAGAAUUCGUAUCUCAGACCACAUUAUGAACAUGAUAUCGCCUUUUUUCUUCUUCUUUCUUUUGCUUUUAUAUAUGUUUCUUGUUGCAGGGAAUGA
This 399-nucleotide ribosomal RNA is filed under the name Triticum aestivum (bread wheat). RNAcentral describes it as "partial small subunit ribosomal RNA". Lineage: Eukaryota; Viridiplantae; Streptophyta; Magnoliopsida; Poales; Poaceae. The record is from RNAcentral.